GAGUAACGCGUGGGAAUCUGCCCUUUGGUGGGGGACAACUAGGGGAAACUCUAGCUAAUACCGCAUAUAAUUGGUAACAAUGAAAGAUUUUAUUGCCAAAGGGUGAGCCCGCGUCAGAUUAGGUAGUUGGUAGGGUAAUGGCCUACCAAGCCUGUGAUCUGUAGCUGAUUUGAGAGAAUGAUCAGCCACACUGGGAUUGAGAUACGGCCCAGACUCCUACGGGAGGCAGCAGUAAGGAAUAUUGGACAAUGGGGGAAACCCUGACCCAGCAAUGCCGCGUGAAUGAAGAAGGCCUUCGGGUUGUAAAGUUCUUUCGCUUACGAUGAUAAUGACAGUAGUAAGAUAAGAAGGUCCGGCUAACUCUGUGCCAGCAGCCGCGGUGAGACAGAGGGACCUAGCGUUGUUCGGAAUGACUGGGCGUAAAGGGUGCGUAGGUGGUUACUUAAGUAGGGUGUUAAAUCCUUGGGCUCAACCCAAGAACCGCAUUCUAUACUGGGUGACUGGAGUAUGGGAGAGGAGAUUGGAAUUCCUAGUGUAGAGGUGAAAUUCGUAGAUAUUAGGAGGAACACCAGAGGCGAAGGCGAAUCUCUGGCCCAUUACUGACACUGAGGCACGAAAGCGUGGGGAGCAAACAGGAUUAGAUACCCUGGUAGUCCACGCCCCUAAACGAUGAGUGCUAGACGUUGGAAUUUUAUUUUCAGUGUCGCAGCUAACGCGUUAAGCACUCCGCCUGAGGAUUACGGUCGCAGACUAAAACUUAAAGGAAUUGACGGGGGCC
Molecule: ribosomal RNA, 778 nt
Filed under: uncultured bacterium
Lineage: Bacteria
Description: bacterial SSU rRNA
Rfam family: Bacterial small subunit ribosomal RNA
Source: RNAcentral